AUCGGAAUUACUGGGCGUAAAGAGUGCGCAGACGGAUAUAUAAGUUAGAUGUGAAAUCCCCGAGCUUAACUUGGGAACAGCAUUUAAGACUGUAUGUCUAGAGUUUGUCAGAGGGAGGUAGAAUUCCAAGUGUAGCAGUGAAAUGCGUAGAUAUUUGGAGGAAUACCAGUGGCGUAGGCGACCUCCUGGGAUAAAACUGACGUUCAGGCACGAAAGCGUGGGUAGCAAACAGGAUUAGAUACCCUGGUAGUCCACGCCCUAAACGAUGUCUACUUGCUGUUGGGAAGAUAUUCUUAGUAGCGAAGCUAACGCGAGAAGUAGACCGCCUGGGGAGUACGGUCGCAAGAUUAAAACUCAAAGGAAUUGACGGGGACCCGCACAAGCGGUGGAUGAUGUGGAUUAAUUCGAUGCAACGCGAAAAACCUUACCUGCUCUUGACAUGCUAGGAAGAUUUCAGAGAUGAGAUUGUGCCGCAAGGAACCUAAACACAGGUGCUGCAUGGCUGUCGUCAGCUCGUGUCGUGAGAUGUUGUCUUAAGUGACGCAACGAGCGCAACCCUUACUACUAGUUGCCCCAAUUAAGUUUGGCACUCUAGUGGGACUGCCGGCGAUAAGCCGGAGGAAGGUGGGGAUGACGUCAAGUCCUCAUGGCCCUUAUGAGCAGGGCUUCACACGUCAUACAAUGGUAGGUACAGACGGUUGCCAAGCCGCGAGGUGGAGCUAAUCCGAGAAAGCCUAUCGUAGUCCGGAUUGCACUCUGCAACUCGAGUGCAUGAAGUCGGAAUCGCUAGUAAUCGCAGAUCAGCAUGCUGCGGUGAAUACGUU
Molecule: ribosomal RNA, 824 nt
Filed under: uncultured beta proteobacterium
Lineage: Bacteria; Pseudomonadati; Pseudomonadota; Betaproteobacteria
Description: bacterial SSU rRNA
Rfam family: Bacterial small subunit ribosomal RNA
Source: RNAcentral